ACUGUGAUAGUGUCCGUUUUCUUUAUGUAACAAAAUCUAAUUUCUUUGUGCUAAGGCAAGAGCAGUUCUAAAGAGAGAAAAAAGAACACUUUAGCAGUCAGGACAAAUGAUGGUAUUUCGUUAUUAUUUUCAUCAUAGAUUAAAAUAUAUCCCUCAUACUUUGUAAAUAGGAGUCUAUCAGAGAUACACUGUGAUAAGGGCAAGACAAUUAGAAA
Molecule: long non-coding RNA, 215 nt
Filed under: Homo sapiens (human)
Lineage: Eukaryota; Metazoa; Chordata; Mammalia; Primates; Hominidae
Description: non-protein coding lnc-EGR1-5:1
Source: RNAcentral